GAUGAGGUCUCCCACCGGGUUAACCGGGUAAGGCCCCCAGUAGACCACUGGGUUGAUAGGCCAGAAGUGGAAGCACCGCAAGGUGUGGAGCUGACUGGUACUAAUAGGCCGAGGGCUUGUCACACACCAACCAACGGUUGG
Molecule: ribosomal RNA, 141 nt
Filed under: Kribbella albertanoniae
Lineage: Bacteria; Bacillati; Actinomycetota; Actinomycetes; Propionibacteriales; Kribbellaceae
Description: partial 23S ribosomal RNA
Rfam family: Bacterial large subunit ribosomal RNA (bases 1-124)
Source: RNAcentral